GUCGUUCCUCCGCGUUACAGAGCUACAGCGGUCUCCGGGUGGCGAAGUGCGGAGACGGGGUUUUGGAGACGGUGGAUGGAGGAGGGGGAGGGAAAGCUGCCAACUUUGGAUACCAACCCCGUACACCCACCGAAGGGGAUGUCCCACUUUUUCCAGCGCUGGGAGCAAAAAGAUAACAGUGAGCGAGGUUGAAAAGUAAGACAUUGAUUUAAAUAGAAGAAAAACUGUUGUUUCAACCAACGAAGAGAUUCUUUGUUUUCUUAUCUGUAAAAUGUGAAAAAUCGUACCUAACCUACAGGGUGAUUGUGAGGAGUAAUUGAAAUAAAAUUCGAGGAAUUGUGUAACGUGAAGUACCAUGAACAAUAAAACAGGAGGCAGAAUGAAAAGUAAGCCUCUCUGUCGGGUGUUGAUGAGCUUUGGAGCAACGAGAUAAACUCAGCGGGUUUGGUAGUCUAAAUGGCACAAACCCUUAGCAGAGCAACUAGGAAAUAGCUUGUAAAAUUACACGUGCCUACCACUCUUCUAGGAAAAUUCUCGCCCACGUAUCUACAAAUACAAGAAUAUUCAUAGCAAACUUUAUAAGUUGCAAAAGAGCAGGAAACAUAAGUGCCAUUGACAGAAGUAAUAAGUAAAUAGUGGCGUAUUUAUAUAAUAGUAUAUAGCAGGUACGAAGAAUGAACCAGUGCUAUGUUUACUAGCAUGAAAAACCCAAAAAACAGGGUUGGUGGGCGCUUUGGCUCACGCCUGUAAUCCAGCACUUAGGGAGGAUGAAGCGGGAGGAUCGCUUGAGCCCAGGAGUUGGAGAACUGCCUGGGCAAUAUAGCGAGACCCCGUUAUUCACAAAAAGAAAAAAAAAAGACACAAACCAAAACAAAACAAGUUUAACUCCUCUCAUCGCAAGCCGGGUGCGGUGGCGUGUUCCUGUGGUCCCAACUUCUCGGGAAGCUGAGACAGGAGAAUCUCUUAAGCCCAGGAGUUGGAGGCCAGUGGGGACACCCAUCUCUUAGAAAAGGAAAUAAAAAAUAUAUAGUGUAAAAUAACAUCUAUAUAUUUAAAAACGUGCAAAAGAAUAUAAAAUUUUAGGAGUGUACAUAUGUCAUGAAAUUAUAAAGUCAUGUAUUGGAGUAACUAAAAUUUCAAGAUAGUGGUAAACUGGAAGGAGAUGUAAUGGAGAAGAACAGAAAGGCUUCACAUGCCUUGGUAAUGUUUUGUUAUUUAGGUUAAUGUUAAUUUCACAAGCAUGCCUUAUAUUAUUGUUUGUACCUUCUGGUAUGUCUGAAAUAUUUAAUAAUAAAUGAAUUUCUAAAG
This 1308-nucleotide long non-coding RNA is filed under the name Homo sapiens (human). RNAcentral's name for it is "HSALNT0348500". Lineage: Eukaryota; Metazoa; Chordata; Mammalia; Primates; Hominidae. The record is from RNAcentral.